UUCAGUAUUCUACAAGUAACUGGAGUAAAAGUAUUGCCAUGAGAAAAUUGUCAAACUUAAAGAUUAACCAUGAAAAUCUAAAGCAUCAAGUGCAAGCAAAUGGGUGGUAAGCAUGGCUUUGAUUUCACACGUAGGCGCUAUGUUUACAUAUGUACAUGUUGUCCAUAUUUUGCUUUGCUUCAUAUAUUAGGAGUUCAUCCCUAGCUAGCCUAUAACUUUGAUUGAAAACUUAUGAAUCUGAAACAUUUUGAUUUAAGGACA
This is a long non-coding RNA of Pyrus x bretschneideri (Chinese white pear), 261 nucleotides long. RefSeq lists it as uncharacterized. The record is from RefSeq and is a predicted model, not a curated record. The transcript has 2 exons. Lineage: Eukaryota; Viridiplantae; Streptophyta; Magnoliopsida; Rosales; Rosaceae.